CCAUAUCCACCCGAAGUGGCCACCACGAGGCCCCUCCUUCCUCGGGAUCGUAUCCCCCUCCGCCAACCAACUAGAAGCACCGCGAUCCAAAAUCCCUCGUGGCUCCGACCACCUCCCUCGUCUUGUGCACCGGCCCAAUAGAGUUCGCUCGUGGCCCCGAGCGCCUUGCGCUGCCGCGCCGAUCAGCAGCAACAGGUUAUCGUGCCCGUCGCCCCCUCCUUCCAUAUCUUCCUUCCUCUAGCUCUCCCUCCCUCUCACUUUCUCUCUCUUUUGUCUCAGUUCCGCAGGAGUUCUCGUCCAUGCCGCGUGGAGAGAGCGCCAAAAUCACCUCGUCCACGGCGACCAAGGCAUCUAGCUGCAACCUCGCAUGAGCAGGUGCAACAUCCAACGUCCUUUUUGUGUCCUGCUCGUGGACACGACCAUCCCCGGUGACCAGCACCAUGCCUCACCCUUCUUUUCUAUUUCCUCCCGUUUCCCUCCCAUGCUCUCCCUCUCUCUGAUAAUCUUCUCUGAAUCUCUCUGAAUCAAGAGUAACUACCCCAUGGCCGCGAUGGAUGGACGUCGCUGUUUGACCCAGCCGACCACCUUCAAUGCACCGCCAAGUGCCGGAUCUGAAGGGAAUGAGUCGGUCCGCCCGUUCAUGACCUCCGCCGUAGCCCGAGGUCGCCUCCAACCACCGCAAGCCUCGCCUCCAGCCACAGCAAGCCUCGCCUUUGCCGCCCCGAGGUCCGGUUUCCUUACCCAGUUCUCUAAAUCCUCAAAGGGAAGGCUUCACCUUCCUUCCGUUCAAAUGAAACACAACUCUUAUUUUGAAAGCAGACAUGACUGUAGCUCAUUGGCUAGCACCACUCGUUUUCAUCCAAGGGAUCUUGGGUUCAAACGCAGCGC
This 888-nucleotide long non-coding RNA is filed under the name Hordeum vulgare. RNAcentral's name for it is "long non-coding RNA (HVUL_LNC019697)". The record is from RNAcentral. Lineage: Eukaryota; Viridiplantae; Streptophyta; Magnoliopsida; Poales; Poaceae.